Cygnus atratus (black swan) is the source of this 1146-nucleotide long non-coding RNA. RefSeq lists it as uncharacterized. The transcript has 7 exons. NCBI's taxonomy places the organism in Eukaryota, Metazoa, Chordata, Aves, Anseriformes, Anatidae. The record is from RefSeq and is a predicted model, not a curated record.
CAUUGGCAGUGAGGAUCAUUCAGUGUCCUUGGAGAUGAAAAAAGACAGUGCUGCAGAAGAGAGAAGCUGACAUUUUCCAGCACCUGCGUGUACCUUCACCCAAGUGACUCCUCAUCCCUUUGGCACGGGGAGCACAGAAACACCCCAAACCAGUUCCUAAAGGAUUUGUGCCUGGAAAAAUUAGAAGAAUGAACCAUCUCACAGCAGGAGUUGAGACCUUUGUCUAGUGCACAGCACCAGUUUUACCCCUACUUCCGUGAAGACUGAAUCAAGCUGUGACAGCCAGCUAAAGAAGAACAAGAAAACAUCACAGAAAAGGAUGACUAUUUCCCACUGAUUUUUCAAAUCAAUCAGUUUCAUACCAGGACAAAACAGAGUUCUUCUGCACAGACCAGAUGUACUUUUCUGUUUACAGAGAUGCAAGUAGUCCAAAAGCCAUCCAUUCUACCUUCAUAGAAAAAAAUGUCCCUGACAGAAUUGAUCCUAUUGCAUUGGUAACUCCAGCAGAGGAUUAACUACAGGAGUCCUCCAAGCACUGCAACUGAAGCAGCCAGCAGCAGCAAAACAAUAAUGUCUUCCUGGUCAGCAACACGAACCACGAGGAGGAUCUUGUUCACUGCUCCUGCAUAAAUGGAAAGCAUAAGGAUCUGGAUGUGAAACACUCAUUCUGUAGCAAAAAGGAAGAGCACCUUGUGCACAUAACAGCAUUUAAGGAAGGUAUUAUGAAAUAAAAAGUCCAACACUCUUAUCUGUGUACACAUCACCACUGUAUUGCAAGAUUGUAUUACUUUCAGGAGGAAGCUGUUUGGAUGAGUAUUCACAGAAUCGUCUAGGUUGGAAGAGACCUCCAAGAUCAUCUAGUCCAACCUCUGCCCUAACACUAACAAGUCCUCCACUAAACCAUAUCACUAAGGGCUACAUCUAAACGUCUUUUAAAGACCUCCAGGGAUGGCGACUCAACCACCUCCCUGGGCAGCCCAUUCCAAUGCCUAACAACCCUUUCGGUAAAGAAGUUCUUCCUAAUAUCCAACCUAAACCUCCCCUGGCGCAACUUUAGCCCAUUCCCCCUCGUCCUGUCACCAGGCACAUGGGAGAAUAGACCAACCCCCACCUCGCUACAGCCUCCUUUAAGGUACCUAUAGAGAG